UCAGAGAAGGGAAGAACCUGAAACCAUGGGAGGAGCUGAAAUCUCUCGAGGACAAUGUUGGUGACCCCUGGAAGGAGGAUUAAAGACUGGACCUGGAGGAGACCAGCAGUUCCAGGGAGCCUCAGGAUUCUGCACACUGUCUAAGCCCUUUGGAUGUCUAGCUACGUCCCCAGGUUGGCAUAGACUCAACAGGUAAGAAUUUGGAUUGUUCAUAUUUAAGGUUCAGACAUAUACAAUGUCCAUAUAUGAUGGACAUUGAGGUUGUGGGGAAAGAGAGCAUUGGAAGCCAGAUUACAAUGAGGACAAGGAAUUACUGAGAGAAAAUAUCACUGCCGGAGUGGAGGGAGGCAAGCACAGAGGAUCAGGCCGGUAAACUGGUGUGAAGGUAAGGGGCACUAGUUGUGGGCAUAGUGUAGAGCUCUUCUUAGCGAACUUUCACCUGGCCCCUGGGUAAAUCCUAAAAACCAUUUCGGUAAGACACUAGGGUAACUCUGUGGUAGGAUUGUUCCUUUCCAAGCAAAGUGGGAUAAGAGAGA
Molecule: long non-coding RNA, 536 nt
Filed under: Capra hircus (goat)
Lineage: Eukaryota; Metazoa; Chordata; Mammalia; Artiodactyla; Bovidae
Description: lncRNA (ENSCHIG00010005717.1)
Source: RNAcentral